RNAcentral lists this ribosomal RNA (220 nucleotides) under uncultured bacterium. RNAcentral describes it as "partial 16S ribosomal RNA". It matches the Rfam family "Bacterial small subunit ribosomal RNA", at positions 57 to 305 of the family's 1533-position model. The record is from RNAcentral.
GCAAGUCGAGCGAGAACUUCGGUUCUAGCGGCGGACGGGUGAGUAACGCGUGGGAAUGUGCCUCAAGGUAAGGAAUAGCCUCUGGAAACGGAGAGUAAUACCAUAUGUGCCCUUCGGGGGAAAGAUUUAUCGCCUUGAGAUCAGCCCGCGUUAGAUUAGAUAGUUGGUGGGGUAAUGGCCUACCAAGUCUACGAUCUAUAGCUGGUUUUAGAGGAUGAUC